ACAGGAGCGAGCACACCCCCGCUGGCAGAGGAGCUUCACUCGUCCCCACUGCUGCUUCUGUCAAGACCAGAGUUUCUAGACUAGAGGAAAAAUCCUCCUGGUGAAAAGGGACCUAGAAGACUUGGUUGUACUUCCUACCAUUUCCUGACUCCCAGAGGACCCUGAACUCUGAAAUAGACAGAACCAAAGCCAGAAAGAAUUUCUUCAACAGAAAAAGGAAGUUCACAGUGACUUUCUGGUGACAUACCUGGCCAAAACAUGGGCCUGGUUUAAGCCUCUCGCCCACACAGCUGGUGCACCAGUUCACAGGAAGUGGAGGGGUGGAGACACAAAUUCAAGAGUGACAAGAAGCCGCUGGGCUGGAGCCACUGAGCUUGACUCAGUGGCAGAGUGCUUGCCUGGCAUGCUCAAGGCCUGGGUUUACCUCCAACAUGAAAAAAAGGGGAGUGAGGAGAAGUCUUAGUGGGUACACAGCUUGCCUUGUAAAUACACGGAUCUGAACAUGAUGCCAGCCCUGGAAAGGUGAAGAAAGGAGGGUUCUUAAGGCUCACCACCAAGUCAGUGAGCUCCAUGCCACUGGGAAGCAUGUCUGGGGACUGACAGCCAGUGCUGCCCUCCAUUUGAACGCACACAUACUCCUGCACCUGAAAGUUGUUGGGGAGCAGAUUACAACCUUGCAUCUUGGAAGAAAGCUUUUUAAAACAUAGGAUGUUAAAGAGAAGUGAAACAAAAGGCUGUUUUAGUCUCACGUGGUACACACCCUCAGGACUAAGGCAAGGAGCUACAGAGCAGACCACCUGGUAUCUUCCUCUGACCUCCUAGACUGUGCUAGCCCUGAACUUUUAGCAGUUGGAAGGCUGAGGUAGAGGCAUCAAAAAUUCAAGGUUAGCCUGAGCCAAUACAGGAAGACUUUGUCAGAAACCUAAAAGAUAAAUAAUAAAGCAACCAUCAAGACUCCAAACAAAGGGAAAGCUAGGUUUGGACUCUGGGAGGUGCAUGGGUUCUGGCACAGCGGCAGGUGCCAGCGAUGUCUGCGGAAAGGCUGAGCUCAGCUGGCACAGAGCUAAGGAAGUGGGUUGGUGCUGCUCACUCUAAGGAACAAAAUGAAGCAGCACAGUACAGACCUAAAAGGGUACAGGCAGGAUUUAAUCACACAAUGCUCGACCCGAAUUACACCAUGCAUCUACAAACAGACUUAGAAACCUACAAAGCCAUGCACCUGGGCUGGUGCUGGGCACGGUGGGACAUUUGCUACCGAGAACAAAGGUCUGGGUUCCAAUCCCAGUGCUGGGGAGACCAUCUGGGACAGCCUGGAGACCGUCUGGGACCUGAAGCAGUGAGGAGGGGUCUGUGGGUCAGGAAAGAUUCCAGCUCGGGGGAGUACAGGUAUAAUGAGUCAGGAGGAUCAGGAGUUCCCUCUCAUCCUCAGCUGCAUAGCAGGUUCGAGGCUAGCCUGGGCCACAGACCUUGGGUGCUGGGGAAAAGCAGCUUCUGAAGCUAUGCUGUGUGGUUUAGUAGGCUUAGCCUAUGGCUGAUAGAAGCAAGAGAGAGCAGACCCCAGGCUAGCUCAGGGCUGGCUCUAGUUUCCACCCCAACACAACAAAGAAAAAUAAAAUGAAAUCAAGCCGGUU
This 1631-nucleotide long non-coding RNA is filed under the name Rattus norvegicus (Norway rat). Its description in RNAcentral is "long non-coding RNA NONRATT014553". The record is from RNAcentral. Lineage: Eukaryota; Metazoa; Chordata; Mammalia; Rodentia; Muridae.